AAGGGUGUAGCUCAGUGGUAGAGUGUGUGCUUCACAUGCACGAGGUCCUGGGUUCAAUCCCCAGUACCUCCA
This 72-nucleotide transfer RNA is filed under the name Camelus ferus (Wild Bactrian camel). It matches the Rfam family "tRNA". Rfam says of the family: Transfer RNA (tRNA) molecules are approximately 80 nucleotides in length. Their secondary structure includes four short double-helical elements and three loops (D, anti-codon, and T loops). Lineage: Eukaryota; Metazoa; Chordata; Mammalia; Artiodactyla; Camelidae. The record is from Rfam by way of RNAcentral.